This 253-nucleotide ribosomal RNA is filed under the name uncultured bacterium. RNAcentral's name for it is "partial 16S ribosomal RNA". It matches the Rfam family "Bacterial small subunit ribosomal RNA", at positions 524 to 776 of the family's 1533-position model. The record is from RNAcentral.
UACGGAGGGGGCAAGCGUUGUUCGGAAUUAUUGGGCGUAAAGAGUAUGUAGGCGGCUAGAUAAGUCAGACGUGUAAGCCCAUGGCUCAACCAUGGUAUUGCGUUUGAAACUAUUUAGCUUGAGUGCAGGAGAGGAAAGCGGAAUUCCCAGUGUAGCGGUGAAAUGCAUUGAUAUUGGGAAGAACACCGGUGGCGAAGGCGGCUCACUGGGUCUCUUCUGACGCUGAGGCACGAAAGCUAGGGUAGCGAACGGG